UGGGGAAUCUUGCGCAAUGGGCGAAAGCCUGACGCAGCCAUGCCGCGUGUAUGAUGAAGGUCUUAGGAUUGUAAAAUUCUUUCACCGGGGACGAUAAUGACGGUACCCGGAGAAGAAGCCCCGGCUAACUUCGUGCCAUCAGCCGCGGUAAUACGAAGGGGGCUAGCGUUGCUCGGAAUUACUGGGCGUAAAGGGCGCGUAGGCGGAUCGUUAAGUCAGAGGUGAAAUCCCAGGGCUCAACCCUGGAACUGCCUUUGAUACUGGCUAUCUUGAGUAUGAGAGAUGUAUGUGGAACUCCGAGUGUAGAGGUGAAAUUCGUAGAUAUUCGUAAGAACACCAGUGGCGAAUGCGACAUACUGGCUCAUUACUAACACUGAGGCGCGAAAGCGUGGGGAGCAAACAGG
This 404-nucleotide ribosomal RNA is filed under the name bacterium. Its description in RNAcentral is "partial 16S ribosomal RNA". It matches the Rfam family "Bacterial small subunit ribosomal RNA", at positions 355 to 776 of the family's 1533-position model. The record is from RNAcentral.